UGUCUCACAUUUGUCCAACUGCCUUUUCACAGCCGUUUUCCAGGCUCCCUGCUCCACGGCCCUGCAAUCCGCUUAAAAACCAAUCUUCAUGUUCUGCACGGAGCUUCGUGCUACAUGAGGGUUUCAUUUUGUCUCCCUUCGCCGCUCCUAAUUGUGCUUUAAAAGUCGAGCCGACAGCAGCGGACCCAGUUCACCCACAGCAGCAGCUACCCUUUUGGAGCAGAGAGAACAAUUUAUGCAGUCACAGAGAUGCCCAAAAUACUUGAGUGGGACACCAACGGAACAAGAGAUACCACAUCAUGAGUUUUAGGUCUUCAACAUGGAAUGAGAGCUUACGAAUCAGCCAAGCAAUCCUGGGAGAAAUCCUCCAUAGCGGUCUCACCUACAACUCCUUGAGCAAUGAUUCUUUACCAGCUUUCCCUUCAAUUCCAUCUAGAAAAUUCUUUCUAGACACUUAACAUGGUUUUCAAAGAAACACUCUUCUGCCUCAGGCUGUAUCAGUUUGCAUAAUAUUUUGUCAUAUUACAAGACCACAUUCAUGGACACAGGGGCAUAGAUCACUUUAGGGUCAAUCCCAACUGACUCUUCCUGAGCACCCAUCUCCCCUGGUGGCUGCAGGAGAACCCAUGGCAGCCCAUGCUCAUCUGAGGAGUCCACUGACCACCUACAGAAUUACUCUGUCA
Molecule: long non-coding RNA, 683 nt
Organism: Myodes glareolus (Bank vole)
Lineage: Eukaryota; Metazoa; Chordata; Mammalia; Rodentia; Cricetidae
Source: RefSeq, a predicted model, not a curated record